This 253-nucleotide ribosomal RNA is filed under the name uncultured bacterium. Its description in RNAcentral is "partial 16S ribosomal RNA". It matches the Rfam family "Bacterial small subunit ribosomal RNA", at positions 524 to 776 of the family's 1533-position model. The record is from RNAcentral.
GACAGAGGGGGCAAGCGUUGCUCGGAAUUACUGGGCGUAAAGGGCGCGUAGGCGGGAUGGCAAGUCGGUCGUGAAAUCCCUCGGCUCAACCGAGGAACGUCGAUCGAUACUGCUGUUCUUGAGGAUUGCAGAGGAGACUGGAAUUCCCGGUGUAGCGGUGAAAUGUGUAGAGAUCGGGAGGAACACCGGUGGCGAAGGCGGGUCUCUGGGCAAUUCCUGACGCUGAGGCGCGAAAGCGUGGGGAGCGAACGGG